Long non-coding RNA from Mesocricetus auratus (golden hamster), 7166 nucleotides. RefSeq lists it as uncharacterized. The record is from RefSeq and is a predicted model, not a curated record. The transcript has 4 exons. NCBI's taxonomy places the organism in Eukaryota, Metazoa, Chordata, Mammalia, Rodentia, Cricetidae.
CAAACACAAAAGUCUCAUAUAGCAUUAUGUAUAAAAUGUAUUUUAUAAUCUAUUAAAUUUUGUAAAGAUUUUCAAUGAAACUUUAAGAAACUUAGUUUCAAUCGUGUUAGUACAUGUGUGUUUUGUGUAGAGGUGUGUGCGCAUGAACAGAAGUUCUCAUGGAGGCAGACAACGGUGCAGGACCCUCUGAGCUGGAGUUAAAAGCAGUGGUGAGCUGACCGACGCAGGUGCUGGACUCCAGAUUGAGUCCUCUGGGAGAAAGGAGUACAGUGUUUUGGGGCCCAACACAAGAUGUUUACUAAUUUGUCUUCACAGUUCUAAUCCUGAAUUAUAUAUGGAUGCGUAUCUGUGUGGAUAUAAGCAUACGAGGCUAGGUGUUCUCAAGAGGCACCAGAUCCCCUGGCACUGGAUUUCUGUGUGGCUGUAAGCAGGCACCACAGCCACGCCGGGAACCAAAUGCAGCUCCCGUGGGAGGGACGCACGAUCCUUCAGUCGCUGAGACAUUCCUCCAUCCUCGGUGUCUUCCGCUGCAAUCAUUUUUGUGCUGUGUGGAGGAGAGGCACGCGCACCAGCUACUGCCGAUGCUGACAUCGGUACUGGCCUCUUCCAUUUCUCAAUGUGGACUGAAGACGGGCGGCUCUCCAGGAAUCCUUCAGGAUUUAGCACAAGAUCGGAACUCCUUGGGCAUUCAGCUCUGUUGCCUGGGCCGUUAAUGGGCUUUCUGCCUUUCUAGUGUGUGGGCAGUGUUGUUGGACUAUUCAGUUUAUACCCUGAAAGCCAAUCCAGGAAGUCUCCCGACCGUGCUGGAUAAGUAUUCUACUGGUUCCGUUCUUUUGGAGAACCCCUGACUAAUACAGAAUUCGAUGCAAUGAAUGUUUAACGAUUGAGAUGAUAGUGUUCUGAUACCAAGCAGAGGAAUGCGUAGUGCAGGGAGACCCUGGCUUGCACGGUGUUUUCACACGGCCCAUUUAAGCUGCAAACUUUCAGAGGUGUUAUCUCAGUAUGUCCAGAUCUGAAGAACAGAACAAUGGUGCAAACUACAUGCCAUCACCGCAAUGGUACACAGAGCAGCUCUGAUAUUAAAUUUAGGUUUUCUAUCUUUUCAUUUGGGAGAGGUAAACCAUCGUGGUCAUAGUCAACUAUAGGAAUAGGUCUUUGUUCCAACCUGGUGUAGUUUUCUCUCCCCUUUUCAUGUUUUCCUUUCUUAGAUGAUGAUACUCCUGCCCAUUGUUCUUGCUCACGCCGGGGCAUUCUGGAUGCUGCUGCCCUUCAUACAGAAGAGGUUUUUUUUUUUUUUUAACAUUUGUAAGUCAUCAGUUUUAAGAACUAAAACUUCAUCAAGCAUGUUCUCAGAAAUAAGUGUUCUUUGUCCUUCACAGGACGGAUGCCGCUUAACAGCCUGGGGUGCCACUCACCACCCUGGUGUAGCUUAUCUCUGUGCCCAGCGUGAUGUCUUUGUUGCCCAGCUGGCACUGUCUUCCAUCUCCGGGAGCAGCAUCUUCUUGUCCUGAGGAAUGUGGUAAUUGGAGGUUUUUUUGGUUGGAAGUGUAAUUUUUAAAAUUAAAGCGACAUGUUCACAUCUUUCCUCAUGAGAUUGAAAAUAACAAUUACUUUGAAAGAUGUCUUGAUUUUAUUUUGGAGACUUUUUCUAAACAGGCUUUUCAUGUUUUUAAGGGAAUAAGAGAUUUUUUUUUUACAUAUUUGAGUGGUUUUGACCCAGGGACACAGAGACAAUUUUACAAAGAUUUGCAAAUUUAGGAAUCAAAGAAUGUCAUAAAACUAUGCAAGUUUAAAAUACAUUAUUGAGUGCAUCAGAGAGGGGGUUAAAACAAAAUGGAGGGAGCUUUUCUAUAGGUCUCUGAUGCUAUUUCUCUGAUGGUAUUUUUAGCUUGUGAGCAGGGGGCAGCCGGCUGGUUGCUAACUUAAUAGACUCCAAAGGUUUUCAAUCUCCUAGUGAAAGCGUGUUAGUUCCAACGCAAAGGUGAACGAGGCAUGGCCGUUCAUGUUGACAAAGCCAGCCUGAGAUAGCAUAAUUAGCAUCCGGACAGGCAAUAUCCCCUCUCCCCCACAUCACUAUAGUUCUCCUUAGUCAGCUGAGUUUUAAUCCUGGAUAAUUGUACUGUAGCAGUCUCUGAAGACGGCUUCUUCAAGCUGGGAGUUCUUGUUCACAGUGCCCCCUGUUGACCAAGCAUCACAAUUUGUGCAUGUGAUGGGGGCACAUGUUAUUUAUUAAAUAUAAGAUUCCUCUAGCUAGGAAGCUCGUUCCUAUGUUAUGGAGUAGAGGAGGCUGAGUGGAUGGCAGGGGAGCAGUCUUCAGGAGAGAGGAAUAGCUGACAAAGACAUUAAGAAAAAACAAACAAAACAAAACAAAACAAAACAAAAACCAAAACUCCUCCCGGAUUAUAACGAAACCACCAGUAUCAUGAUCCCUAGCUGACUUUUUUCUUAUUCCUCUGUGUCUGGCAUAGCAUUUACAUCACGUCCAGUAUAUAAUAGGAUUACUAGACCUGAAAUUAAAAUAAUCAGGAACAUUGUUUGGCCUGAUGGAGUGAAGGUAACAGAUGAAGGAAACAUGUACUUUAAACAACCACAGUUUACCUAUUUCUUUUUAUGACCCUAGAUUGUAUGUUUCUGCUAUAUUUACAGCUUACUCUAGGAGCUGUUUGUACGUUUAAAUGUUAGAAACAUGAAUGGGACCCUGGAAGGAGUCACUGUGUGAUUGAAUUGUUUUAUUAGUAAAAUACAAAUACAGCUCAAUUAAUAUUUUAAUCCUUGAUUAUUGUACUAUAUGACGUUUUAGACACUAACUAAAUAAGAAAAAAUCAGUACUCAAGGUACAAAACAUAAUGAAUGCUGUUGCUGCAGAGUGAUGUCCUUGGCGUAAAUUGUAUAAGAAGAGUUAGGCCAAAUCUUAGGGUGUCUUAGCUAGAGCAAAGGGAGCUAAAGUUGAGUUUAAAUACUAAAUGUUUUGUUUUUUAUACACAUUAGAAUAAUGAGAAAAAGUGUGUAUACACAUACAUUUGUAUAAAGACAGUGACAGCACUUGAGAGUUUCAGGCAUGAGAACUGGUAUUGAAUAAGGUACAGGUUUAGAGUAACAAAAAAUGACUAAAUGAAAGAAUAUUUAAUAUUUUCCUUUGUAACUUCACUACAACCAAAAUUUGUAUCAUUUAUCACUGAGAAACAUACCAGGUGAGAUAUUGUAUUUCAUAAACAAUUAAAAAACUUUUUUAUUAUGAAAGUAUUUAGGUCAUAAGAGUGAGAGGAAUGUUUACUUCAUCGGGGCACUCAAUUAUGAAGGGAGUUGAAACGACUUUUAAGGCAACACAACCGCACCCAUCCAUUUGAGUCUGCUAAUGACUGCUUUCAUUUAAGAGACAGAGGAGAGUAAUGGGUAAUUAUGAAAGAGACUGUGGGAACUAGAAAGCCAAAAAUUUCAGAAAAAUAAAUGUUUGUGUUGAGGUUUAUAAGAAAGACAAUGAUUUUAACAUCAGCCUAUUUCUGGCUGGUAAAAACUUUGCGUCAUUUGCAAACUUAAGUAUCACCCGUAAUCUUCUUAUCCAUUGCUAAUGUAAAUGGAACACUUUAUUGUACACUAUACUUGCAUAUAAGUCACAAACAAUCGUUAAUAAUAUCACUGGCAUUAUUAAUUAUGAAGGCAGGCAUUCUUUUGAAAUAUUUACAUGUAUUCAGGAGCUGAAUUUCACAGUCUUACCAUAUGAUAUAAACUUUAGUUGCCUUUGUUCCCCACAAGGGUACUGAGUCAGACAGAAAGUCACAUAGGCAGUAGGUGAAGGAAUUAGUACUGGAACCAGGCCUACUAGAGAGAUAUAUUGUGAGCUUUGUUUAUUUUUUCCCUAUUUUCUAGAUUUCAUGGCUGUGCAAACACACUGUCAGCUGCAGUAAAUCAGAGGACUUGCUAGGGAAGACCUUGAGACAGCACGCAUUUCAUGCAUCCUGCAUCAGUCAGAGUGCUGUCCACGGCCUCCUGGAGUAUUUUCUCUUAGUGUCAUGGGGCUUUAGAGCGCUUAGAGAACUUGCUUCAGUAACUCUUAACUUCACUGGGGGAAGUGAGGUUUCUUCCGGUAUUGACGGCUGAGAUGUUAGAGCACAUGAUAAAGACAGGACGAAAGCUUCGCAACUGGAUUGAGAACGAUAGCAUCUCCCCUCCUUUUUUCCAUUCUUUAUCCACCAGACAGCAGCCUACGUGUCUUUUGGAUGUGUACUGACAAAUACUACAGGGUGUAGGGAGAGAUCUCAUGUAACCACCCGAAGCACUAGUUACUAAUGUCUUUGGAUGCUGGAAACUAAACACGAGGCCUCGUGUACUCUGCUGCAGGCUACAGCUGCAGACAGGGUUUAUUAUUUAAAUCAGUGUGUUGAUUAUUUUUCUUUACAUUUCUGACGGCAAAAGAAUAGUCUGGAGUGGUUGGUAGAAUCAAUGCUUUCUUGAAGAACUACUUGGGAAAAAUCAAGACAUGUCUAUCUUUAGAGAAUUGUAAUACAAUUUUCAUUUGCACCCUAACCCUAUGUUCUUAGAAGUGGUUUUCUUUUAUCAUGGUUACAAGUAAUAAAAAAAGUGCUAAAAAUGUUGUUCAAUGAAAACAGAGGCCAAAGGAAAACAGGGACACCUACCCUAUUAUCAGACAAACUAUACUUUAAAUACAAGACUUUCAAAAAUGCAAAAGGGAUAUCUACAUGCUGAUAAAAGGUUAAAUCUUCAAGAAAAUUUAACAAUAGUAAACAUUUAUACAAAUAGCAAUCCAUGCAAACACAUAAACAAAACUGAGAGCAUUAGAAAAAACUUCAGUUGUAGAGUUUAACACACAACCAUCAACAACAGAUAAAAUUUCAGAUAGAGGAUAAAUAAGGAAACAUGGCAUAGAAUUCCAUGGCAGAUAAACAAAACACUCAACUCAAUAAAAAUACCAUAUACCUCUUCUCAAGGGCACAAGGUACAUUCUUCAGGAUAGAUGAUGUGUUCAGAUGAAGUUUGAGCAGACCAACAUUACCCUGAGGGCAAAGGUAUCAAAGAGGGAAAAGAAACUACAGAACAGUAUCUCAUAUAAACAUUGAUUUUAAAAAAGAAAAAGGAAAAUACUAGCAAAGUAAGUUAAUCAGCAUAAUAAGAGUGUCACAGUACAUGCACGAGUAAAAUUUGUUCCUGGGAUAUGAAAGCAAUUCACUCUUUGAAAACCAUCCAAUAUAAUACAACACAUUGAAAGAAUAAAGGGGAGAAAUACCUAUUUAUUACAGUUUAUCCAAAAAAUUACUUGGCAAAUUCAGUACCCUUUUAUCUUAAAAAAUACUAUAAAUACAGUGAACCUGGGGCUCUCUGUCUGCCUCAGUGUGUGUUAGUACUGCAGGCGGACACCACAAGCGCCCACACACAUAAGAGGUGUGAUGGCUGUUAUUGGUUGUCAACUUGACUACAUAUGAUGGUUAAUUUUGAGGGUCAAGUUGAUUAUAUUAACAAAUAUGUAGGCCUUAGUGAAGCAUGAUUUUGGGCACGUCUGUGAGGGCAGUUCUACAGGAGUUCAGCUAAGAAUGUAAGAUUCAUCCUCAGUGUGGGUGGCACCAUCCCAUGGGCUGGAGUCCAUGAGUUAAAAAGAGAACGAGGAGAAAGCCACUGACCUGCCUGUUAUUCCAAGGUAGUUUUUAAGGCACUUAAGUGAGGUUAUUUCCCUGAUUUCUUUCCCAGUGUGUUUUUUUUUACUAAUAUGUAAUACUACCAGCCUUUCUUUGGCCAUUUCUCUGAAAGCGUUUAAGAGUUUUCUGGCAGAGUCUUUAGGGUCCCUUACAUAGAAUGAUAUCUGUAAAUAAGGGCACAUUUUCCUACUUUUAUCUGUUUUAUUUCUUGUCUUAUCCCUUCAAGAUUUCAUAGCUUAUAAUGGAAGAAUGGUAAAAGUAGAUAAUCUUGUUCUUAAUUAUAUUGGAAACACUUUGAGUUUUCCUUAUUUCAAAUGAUGUUGACUUGUAAGACCGUUAUCAUAUACAGCCUUUAUUGUAUUUAGAUACGCUCAUUCUAUUCCCAGUUUCUUUAGGAAUUUUAUUGUAAAGGGGUUUUAUCAUGAAUUGUGUCCCAAAGCUUUAUCUGCAUCUAUUGUAACAAUCAUGCUAGUUCUGUCUUUGAGUCAAUUUAUAUGAGUUGGUUGUUGGUUGGGUGAGAUAUUCUGUAGAUAUCUGUUAGGUCCAUUUGGUUUAUAAUGUCUGUUAGCACCAGUAUUUCCCUGUUUAGUUUUUGUCUAGAUGACCUGUCCACUGGACAAAGUUGGGUCUCCCACUAUCGGUGUUUAAGGGUCAAUGUAUGAGGGUCAAUAUGUGAUUUAGGCUGUAGUAGUGUAUCUUUUACAAACUUGGCUUCCCUUGUGUUGGGGCACAGAUGUUAAAAAUUGAAAUGUCAUCUUGGUGGAUUUUCCUUUGAUGGGUGUCCAGUUCCCUUCUACAUUCAUUUUGAUGAGUUUUGGUUUGAAGUCUGUUUUGCUGGGUAUUAAAAUGGCUACACCAGCUUCCUUCUUAGCUCCAUGUGCUUGGAGUAUCUUUUCCCAACCCUUUACCCUGAAGUAAUAUCUAUAUUGAUGUCGAGGGUUUUCUUUCACUGUCCCUUUUUAGCCUUUUGGCUCUAUUUUCAAGGCUAACACAUACUUUCACUGCCUCUGGUUCUAGGGCUAAAGUGUGUUUCUUUGUCUCUGGUUUCAGAGUCAGGGUGCAUUACUUAGGUUCUGGGUUCAGGACUAAAGUGUUUCUUUCACUGACUUGGGUUUCAGAUCCAGGGUGUGUUUCUUUCCACUGGCUCUGGAUUUAGGGUCAGGGUGUUAGAUUUCCUGUUCAGAGAUUGGUUGGUUUCAUGUUCUGUCGGUCAGGGGCAGAGUUGUCUGUGGUUCCAUGGCCAAAGUGUUUCUUUGACUCUGGUUUCAGGGUCAGGGUGUAUUUCUUGGGUUUUGGGUUCAGGGCUAAAGUGUUUCUUUCACUAUCUCUGGUUUUAUGGACAGGAUGAUUUUCUUUCACUACGUCUGGUUUCAUGGCCAGAGUAGAUUCUUUUGGCUGGCCUAUUUACCCUACAAUCACAUCUAUUCUGCUAGGUUGUAUCUUUCCAUUUGGAAUUGAGACACUAAUAUUGAGAGAUGUGACCAGUGAUUGUUGAUGCCUAUUACUUGUUUUUGUUGG